GGGGAUACAGCUCAGUGGUAGAGUAGCUGCUUUGCCUGCAGGGCGUCCCAGGUUCAAUCCCUGGAGUUUUCA
Molecule: transfer RNA, 72 nt
Filed under: Sphaerodactylus townsendi
Lineage: Eukaryota; Metazoa; Chordata; Lepidosauria; Squamata; Sphaerodactylidae
Description: tRNA-Ala
Rfam family: tRNA
About the family: Transfer RNA (tRNA) molecules are approximately 80 nucleotides in length.
Source: RNAcentral